ACUCUAAGCGGUGGAUCACUCGGCUCAUGGGUCGAUGAAGAACGCAGCAAACUGUGCGUCAUCGUGUGAACUGCAGGACACAUGAACAUCGACAUUUUGAACGCAUAUCGCAGUCCAUGCUGUUAUGUACUUUAAUUAAUUUUAUAGUGCUGCUUGGACUACAUAUGGUUGAGGGUUGUAAGACUAUGCUAAUUAAGUUGCUUAUAAAUUUUUAUAAGCAUAUGGUAUAUUAUUGGAUAAAUAUAAUAAUUUUUAUUCAUAAUAUUAAAAAAUAAAUGAAAAACAUUAUCUCACAUUUGAAUGUGAAAAACGAAGAGAAAUAUUUUCUUUUUCAAUCAAAUAAUACUGAGAAAUGUCUAGCAUAAAAAAUUGAAAUAUUUUUCAUCUAGAAUUGUCUCUUAUUAAUGAUUCGGAAAUAGAAAAAUCUUGGUUAUGUUAUUAUUCUUCGUUGGUUCGUUAAAAAUGGAUAAAUAAAAACUUUGCAUACAAGAAUUAAUAAAAAUGUUAUAACGAAUUUAAUUAAAUGUUUUAUCAUUAUAUAUAAAGAAUUUAUGGCAAGAUAAAGUUAUAUACAACCUCAACUCAUAUGGGACUACCCCCUGAAUUUAAGCAUAUUAAUUAGGGGAGGAAAAGAAACUAACAAGGAUUUUCUUAGUAGCGGCGAGCGAAAAGAAAACAGUUCAGCACUAAGUCACUUUGUCUAUAUGGCAAAUGUGAGAUGCAGUGUAUGGAGCGUCAAUAUUCUAGUAUGAGAAAUUAACGAUUUAAGUCCUUCUUAAAUGAGGCCAUUUACCCAUAGAGGGUGCCAGGCCCGUAUAACGUUAAUGAUUACUAGAUGAUGUUUCCAAAGAGUCGUGUUGCUUGAUAGUGCAGCACUAAGUGGGUGGUAAACUCCAUCUAAAACUAAAUAUAACCAUGAGACCGAUAGUAAACAAGUACCGUGAGGGAAAGUUGAAAAGAACUCUGAAUAGAGAGUUAAACAGUACGUGAAACUGCUUAGAGGUUAAGCCCGAUGAACCUGAAUAUCCGUUAUGGAAAAUUCAUCAUUAAAAUUGUAAUAUUUAAAUAAUAUUAUGAGAAUAGUGUGCAUUUUUUCCAUAUAAGGACAUUGUAAUCUAUUAGCAUAUACCAAAUUUAUCAUAAAAUAUAACUUAUAGUUUAUUCCAAUUAAAUUGCUUGCAUUUUAACACAGAAUAAAUGUUAUUAAUUUGAUAAAGUGCUGAUAGAUUUAUAUGAUUACAGUGCGUUAAUUUUUCGGAAUUAUAUAAUGGCAUAAUUAUCAUUGAUUUUUGUGUUUAUUAUAUGCACUUGUAUGAUUAACAAUGCGAAAGAUUCAGGAUACCUUCGGGACCCGUCUUGAAACACGGACCAAGGAGUCUAACAUAUGUGCAAGUUAUUGGGAUAUAAACCUAAUAGCGUAAUUAACUUGACUAAUAAUGGGAUUAGUUUUUUAGCUAUUUAUAGCUAAUUAACACAAUCCCGGGGCGUUCUAUAUAGUUAUGUAUAAUGUAUAUUUAUAUUAUUUAUGCCUCUAACUGGAACGUACCUUGAGCAUAUAUGCUGUGACCCGAAAGAUGGUGAACUAUACUUGAUCAGGUUGAAGUCAGGGGAAACCCUGAUGGAAGACCGAAACAGUUCUGACGUGCAAAUCGAUUGUCAGAAUUGAGUAUAGGGGCGAAAGACCAAUCGAACCAUCUAGUAGCUGGUUCCUUCCGAAGUUUCCCUCAGGAUAGCUGGUGCAUUUUAAUAUUAUAUAAAAUAAUCUUAUCUGGUAAAGCGAAUGAUUAGAGGCCUUAGGGUCGAAACGAUCUUAACCUAUUCUCAAACUUUAAAUGGGUAAGAACCUUAACUUUCUUGAUAUGAAGUUCAAGGUUAUGAUAUAAUGUGCCCAGUGGGCCACUUUUGGUAAGCAGAACUGGCGCUGUGGGAUGAACCAAACGUAAUGUUACGGUGCCCAAAUUAACAACUCAUGCAGAUACCAUGAAAGGCGUUGGUUGCUUAAAACAGCAGGACGGUGAUCAUGGAAGUCGAAAUCCGCUAAGGAGUGUGUAACAACUCACCUGCCGAAGCAACUAGCCCUUAAAAUGGAUGGCGCUUAAGUUGUAUACCUAUACAUUACCGCUAAAGUAGAUGAUUUAUAUUACUUGUGAUAUAAAUUUUGAAACUUUAGUGAGUAGGAAGGUACAAUGGUAUGCGUAGAAGUGUUUGGCGUAAGCCUGCAUGGAGCUGCCAUUGGUACAGAUCUUGGUGGUAGUAGCAAAUAAUCGAAUGAGACCUUGGAGGACUGAAGUGGAGAAGGGUUUCGUGUGAACAGUGGUUGAUCACGAGUUAGUCGGUCCUAAGUUCAAGGCGAAAGCCGAAAAUUUUCAAGUAAAACAAAAAUGCCUAACUAUAUAAACAAAGCGAAUUAUAAUACACUUGAAUAAUUUUGAACGAAAGGGAAUACGGUUCCAAUUCCGUAACCUGUUGAGUAUCCGUUUGUUAUUAAAUAUGGGCCUCGUGCUCAUCCUGGCAACAGGAACGACCAUAAAGAAGCCGUCGAGAGAUAUCGGAAGAGUUUUCUUUUCUGUUUUAUAGCCGUACUACCAUGGAAGUCUUUCGCAGAGAGAUAUGGUAGAUGGGCUAGAAGAGCAUGACAUAUACUGUUGUGUCGAUAUUUUCUCCUCGGACCUUGAAAAUUUAUGGUGGGGACACGCAAACUUCUCAACAGGCCGUACCAAUAUCCGCAGCUGGUCUCCAAGGUGAAGAGUCUCUAGUCGAUAGAAUAAUGUAGGUAAGGGAAGUCGGCAAAUUAGAUCCGUAACUUCGGGAUAAGGAUUGGCUCUGAAGAUUGAGAUAGUCGGGCUUGAUUGGGAAACAAUAACAUGGUUUAUGUGCUCGUUCUGGGUAAAUAGAGUUUCUAGCAUUUAUGUUAGUUACUUGUUCCCCGGAUAGUUUAGUUACGUAGCCAAUUGUGGAACUUUCUUGCUAAAAUUUUUAAGAAUACUAUUUGGGUUAAACCAAUUAGUUCUUAUUAAUUAUAACGAUUAUCAAUUAACAAUCAAUUCAGAACUGGCACGGACUUGGGGAAUCCGACUGUCUAAUUAAAACAAAGCAUUGUGAUGGCCCUAGCGGGUGUUGACACAAUGUGAUUUCUGCCCAGUGCUCUGAAUGUCAAAGUGAAGAAAUUCAAGUAAGCGCGGGUCAACGGCGGGAGUAACUAUGACUCUCUUAAGGUAGCCAAAUGCCUCGUCAUCUAAUUAGUGACGCGCAUGAAUGGAUUAACGAGAUUCCUACUGUCUU
RNAcentral lists this ribosomal RNA (3282 nucleotides) under Drosophila melanogaster (fruit fly). RNAcentral's name for it is "eukaryotic LSU rRNA". The stretch from base 573 to 3282 matches the Rfam family "Eukaryotic large subunit ribosomal RNA", at positions 1 to 2345 of the family's 3401-position model. The record is from RNAcentral. Lineage: Eukaryota; Metazoa; Arthropoda; Insecta; Diptera; Drosophilidae.